Molecule: ribosomal RNA, 446 nt
Filed under: uncultured bacterium
Lineage: Bacteria
Description: partial 16S ribosomal RNA
Rfam family: Bacterial small subunit ribosomal RNA
Source: RNAcentral
CCUACGGGGGGCUGCAGUCGAGAAUCAUUCACAAUGGGGGAAACCCUGAUGGUGCGACGCCGCGUGGGGGAAUGAAGGUCUUCGGAUUGUAAACCCCUGUCAUGUGGGGGCAAAUUAAAAAGAUAGUACCACAAGAGGAAGAGACGGCUAACUCUGUGCCAGCAGCCGCGGUAAUACAGAGGUCUCAAGCGUUGUUCGGAAUCACUGGGCGUAAAGCGUGCGUAGGCUGUUUCGUAAGUCGUGUGUGAAAGGGGCGGGCUCAACCCGCGGAAGGCACAUGAUACUGCGAGAAUAGAGUAAUGGAGGGGGAACCGGAAUUCUCGGUGGAGCAGUGAAAUGCGUAGAUAUCGAGAGGAACACUCGUGGCGAAGGCGGGUUCCUGGACAUUAACUGACGCUGAGGCACGAAGGCCAGGGGAGCGAAAGGGAUUAGAUGCCCUAGUAGUC